GUGAGGAAGGUAGCUCUGAAGUCUUGGGAUCGACUCCCUGCUGGUUGUAGAGAACUGGUGUGCUGUGGAUUGACAACCUAGGGGACCCAGAGCACAAAUUACAUCUGAGUCUCCUCAGAAGGAAGUGGUCUAGAAACAUGGUUAAUAACACAGCCUUUGGAGUGAUAUAGUCUGGAGCUCAGAUGCUAUUUCUUCUACUUACUGUGCUGUUUUGAACUUGUUGUUCUCUGUUAGCCUCAAUUCCCUCAUCCGUAAAAAAGAUGAUAAUAGCCAUGUUGACAGAGCACUUACUAUGUGUCAGGCACUUCCCUAAGUACUGGACAUGAACUUACUCAUUUACUUGUCAUGAUGGCUUUCUGAAAUUAGUAACAUUAUUAUUCCCAUUUUACAGAGAGGCAACUGAGAUGUAGGGGGAAAUUUUCACAGAGAUAUUAAGCAGGGCAAAUGGGAUUCAAAUGCAGGCUGCCUUGUCUCUGGAGCCUGUCUCUUAACCUGCCUGACCUUGUAGGAUUUCUGUAAAGUUCAAAGUUAAGUCAUGUAUGGAAAGUGUUCAGUGCAGUAUUGCACCCACAGGGAGUCUUUGCAAGUGGUAAUGGUGAGUGGUGAUAACGCAGGUGUGAAGAAAGUAACUGACAACACGGCGUCAGUCAGGCUCUCCUGCCCCACUCUCUCACAGCCUCAUAACUUCUUCUGUUUUGUAAACAGUGAUAUUGCUGACCUUGGUAGCACUGCGCCUGUGCGCCCACUUGGCCAUGGGCCACUUUUGUCUGCCUUAGUAUAUCAGAAGUCUUUGAAGACUCCCAGUUGCUGCUGCCCAGAGAGAGUAAACAUGUCUGCAGUCCCCACAGCUCCUUGAGUCUUCUUUCAUUUUCCUGGGUCGCACCUUAUCUACCCUGGGAUCAGUGAACAGUGUGACCGGCAAGACAGCAGGAGUACCAGGUGGAUCUGUGGCCACUGAGGGGCCCUGAUUGGAGUAGCGAACUUCCUGUUAUCUCUGGCUGUCUGGUUGGGUCUCCUGUAUGCCUUAGGGCUGUAAUUGUCUCUUGUCAUCUCUGUUCAUAGGAUCCGUAGGGGAUCUGACCUUCCCUAAAGAUGAGCCAGCUCUAAAUGCACCUGGGGUGUGAAAUCUGAGAAAUUAUGAAAAAAGGCAGCACCAUGAAAUCACCCAGGAUUCAGGAAAUCCUGGGCCUAUUUGUAUCCCUCAGCCUAUGUGACCAUGGGUAAGGGUUCUGCUACCUUGAUUUCAGUUUCCCCAUUCACGAGAGAAGGAGGUCGAAUCUCAAGUUUCCUCUCACCUCCAUGAGGAAAAAUGGUAUCCAAGAAUGCUAUAGAGUCCCGGGGAACUUCUCUUUCUGACCGUGGCUGUCCAUCUCACUGGAGAAUUUGGCCUUUAGGUAUUUGGUCCUACCAUCCCUCUCCUCAUGGAAGUCACAAUCGUCUUUUGAAACAGAAGACAGAUCAUAACCUAUCCUUCCUUAAAAAUCCUCCCACGGCAUCCCACAGGAUUUAGGAUACAAUUUGAACUUGAGCCUCACCAUAGCCUUCAAGGUCCUGCAUGAUCCAGCCUCUGCACACCUCUCCAACCUGCUCUUGAGCCAGCUCAUCUGUGAUCUGGCUCACUGCCCUUCUAUCUGGCAUGCAAGCAAGCUAAGCCUGUGCUUUUCUCAGAGCCUGUGUACCUGCUGGUCCUGCUGCCUGCAGACCACCCUCAUUUCUGAAGUGGGAAUGUUCCCAUCUAGUCGCUCUGCUUCACUUCUCCUUGUUUGAUGAUCUUCAGAGUAUUUCUCACCUUCUGAAAUUGUCUCCUUUGUUCAUUUGUUUAAUGUCUGUCUUCCCCUCAAUGUUAGCUUCAUGAGAGAGGACUCUCAUCUCUCUAACCCACCACUGAAUGCCCAGCACCUGGCAAAAUAUCUGGCUGCUAACAGGUGCCCCAUCUAGUUAACCUUUGAAUAACAUGGGUUUGACUUCCUGGGUCCAUGCACCCACAAUUUUUUUCCUAUAGUAUUACACAAUCUUCAGUUGGUGGAGUGAAUAUGGAAGAACCACAUGUAUGGAGGGCCAGCUAUAAGUUAUAUGCAAAUUUUCUACUGCACCCCUAACUCCCACACUGUCUGAGGGUCAACUGUAUGUAUUUUUGAAUGACUAACAGAAUUAAUGGGCCCAAUACUCGGCUGCUGUAUUUGUCUGCUAUGAUAUUACUGGUCUAGUUUUUCUUUUUUGUAUUCUAACUAAACUUCGGAGGAAGUAUUAGUUGACCAACCAAAUAAGAGUCAGUGCUAUGAGGGUGAUGGAAAUCUGGCUAAGACUGAGUGAAUCAGGUUAGAACAGGUAUUUAGGAUGCAGGAGACUAUGAUACAAAAGUGAAUCUUUCAUCC
Molecule: long non-coding RNA, 2375 nt
Organism: Bos taurus (domestic cattle)
Lineage: Eukaryota; Metazoa; Chordata; Mammalia; Artiodactyla; Bovidae
Source: Ensembl